GUCCAGAUGAAGAUGAUGAUGAAGGUCAUGUUGAUGAAGAUUGUUGUGUGUGUCAGUGAUGAAGUGUUAAACUCACAGCACUAUAAACACUCUCAGAGCACUGAAGCAUCUGAUCAAUAUGCAAACACACUCCAGAUCAUUUACCUGAAGACAGCAGAAACACUGUUUUGUCAUUUAGUAUCUUUGCUAAUAAAUUUCUAUUGAUCAUUUUCAGAAACAGACACUCCUGAUUUACUUCAUGUUAUUUUGGGUGGAUCUUCUCCCUCUAAAUACUGUUUUAAUGAUCAGUUUCAUUCAGACUUUGAUGCUGAGAGCAUUUAAUACCUGUGCUGCAGAUUUGAUAUCAUCAUGAUACUGUAGAACAGGUCAAAGGUCAUCCAAUAGAGAAUGACCAUCUCAAUCUGGCAAAAGAUUUCAUUAUAAAGCAGGUCAUUAGAAUUAGCACAGUUUUACUCACACAUGUUUUGUAAAUGUGAUGAAUGUAGUUUUUGACUGAUUAUAAAAUUUCAUCCUUCAUGCAAUAACAAGUAUUUCUUUUAAAGAUGAAUAUUUAGUGUGUGUUUUCAGCUCAAUCAUGUUGAUGUUGAGAAGAGCUGCUGUUGAGUCUCAUAUCAGUGUGUGUGAGUGUCGUUCGUCUCUUUCUCUGCUGGAGUUUGUGUUCAUUUGAGUGUGACGGAGGUUUUUGUACGACGCUUUCACUAGAAUGAAGCACUGUGGUGGACUUUCGGUGGAGGAACUAAACUGACCAUCACUGGUCCCGCAGUGAAGCCCUCCGUGUCUCUGCUGCCGCCCUCUUCUCUGCAGAUCUCUGGAGACUCAGCCGCACUGCUCUGCCUGCUCAGCUCUUACUCUCCACAGGGGGCGACGGUGAGCUGGACGCUGGACGGGUCAGAGGUCAGCGAGGGGGUUCAGACCAGCGCAGAGAGCGAGCGGGACGGACGCUACAGCCGCAGCAGCGUCCUGAGCCUCAGCAAAGCACGCUGGGAAGGCGCGGAUCGCUUCGUCUGCAGAGUAAGACAUGAAGGAGCUGAUCACGAGGCCUCGUUCCUCAAGAGCUCCCAGUGCUGAUGUUUCUCCGGUCCAGACGAGCCGUAUCUGAGCGUCCGGCAGGAUUCACAGCUGUCACGUGAUUUACAGCUCAAUACUGAAGCAGUCUUUCAAUGUGCUGCCAUUGCUGUUCAUUCAAUAAAGCUUCUGAACGCGUUA
Long non-coding RNA from Megalobrama amblycephala (Wuchang bream), 1206 nucleotides. RefSeq lists it as uncharacterized. The record is from RefSeq and is a predicted model, not a curated record. Lineage: Eukaryota; Metazoa; Chordata; Actinopteri; Cypriniformes; Xenocyprididae. The transcript is spliced from 2 exons.